This 237-nucleotide ribosomal RNA is filed under the name Staphylococcus aureus. RNAcentral's name for it is "partial 23S ribosomal RNA". It matches the Rfam family "Bacterial large subunit ribosomal RNA", at positions 620 to 859 of the family's 2925-position model. Lineage: Bacteria; Bacillati; Bacillota; Bacilli; Caryophanales; Staphylococcaceae. The record is from RNAcentral.
UCAGCGACUUAUAUUCUGUAGCAAGGUUAACCGUAUAGGGGAGCCGAAGGGAAACCGAGUCUUAACUGGGCGUUAAGUUGCAGGGUAUAGACCCGAAACCCGGUGAUCUAGCCAUGGGCAGGUUGAAGGUUGGGUAACACUAACUGGAGGACCGAACCGACUAAUGUUGAAAAAUUAGCGGAUGACCUGUGGCUGGGGGUGAAAGGCCAAUCAAACCGGGAGAUAGCUGGUUCUCCC